This 426-nucleotide ribosomal RNA is filed under the name uncultured bacterium. RNAcentral's name for it is "bacterial SSU rRNA". It matches the Rfam family "Bacterial small subunit ribosomal RNA", at positions 354 to 796 of the family's 1533-position model. The record is from RNAcentral.
GUGAGGAAUUUUCCGCAAUGGGCGAAAGCCUGACGGAGCAAUGCCGCGUGAAGGAUGAAGGCCUAUGGGUUGUAAACUUCUUUUCUCAGAAAAGAAUUAUGACGGUAUCUGAGGAAUAAGCAUCGGCUAACUCUGUGCCAGCAGCCGCGGUAAGACAGAGGAUGCAAGCGUUAUCCGGAAUGAUUGGGCGUAAAGCGUCUGUAGGUUGUUUAAAAAGUAUUCUGUCAAAGAUUAGGGCUUAACCCUAGAUAGGCAGAAUAAACUUUUAAGCUAGAGUUUGGUAGAGGCAGAGGGAAUUCCCGGUGGAGCGGUGAAAGGCGUAGAUAUCGGGAGGAACACCAAAGGCGAAGGCACUCUGCUGGGCCAAUACUAACACUGAGAGACGAAAGCGAGGGGAGCAAAUGGGAUUAGAAACCCUGGUAGUCC